GUCCCUUUCAAACCACCCCGGUAUUCUUUUUUGACCGACCCCUUGUUUGAAAGUGUUAUUAAAAUAGUUUAAAUGACCAAUGAGCGCUGUUAUCUGGGUUGAUUGACAGUUGACAUUCUUUAGAAUUAUUUUUUGAUUGACAGGGCGUCGUCAAGGAGACGUUCGACUCAGUCAGUCCCGCGCCGGUGUCGUGCCAAAAAGUCCCUCCAGGGAAGUCCCUACUUUGAACAACUUCAUCACGACUUUGAUGGAUUAUUUCAUUGAUUCACUUUCCUAAUACUUAGGUCUUGUUGUGCCUUUGGAUGUACUAAUCCGUAUUCUGUCGGAAGCUCUGCAGUUUUGAGCACUUCAGGCGUCGGUGUAACGCUCUUCGCUCAGCAUCCAAACCGUGCCACCUCCACCAACAGCCAGAAGAUCAGCCGUCGAUGGGGCAUGCGUUAUCACUACCAGAGCAACGAGGUGCCAUUCCAGUGAGAUUUCCACAAAGAGAAGUGUCAAGAUAAAAACAGAUGCACCACGGACCCUUUCAACCUCAACACCAGUCCAACCAAGGUCAAGUAAAACAUCCAGGUUAGAGGAGGAAGAGGACAGCAUCACAACACCACCUGACCCUUUGAUAUCUGGCAUUUGGAGAAAGGGCACAUCACAGUCGUCUGUGUGACACCCCCUCGCUGCAUGCCAGCACCCAAACCAAACCACCUCCACCACCACCGGUCAGAUCAUCUCGCUGAAGAUGUGUACAGUACGCUCCUGCCUGCAUCCUACCACCACAAGUUCACCCCAGAGGAUCUGCUGUCGACCACCAUUGUGAAAUCGUUGCAAUUAUGAAACACACUUAAUAAAUGCUAGUACAUCACACACAUUUUGUUUCUGAAUUGUUUUUCAAUAUUGAUUAACACACUGUUGUUACAACAU
Engraulis encrasicolus (European anchovy) is the source of this 915-nucleotide long non-coding RNA. RefSeq lists it as uncharacterized. The record is from RefSeq and is a predicted model, not a curated record. Lineage: Eukaryota; Metazoa; Chordata; Actinopteri; Clupeiformes; Engraulidae. The transcript is spliced from 5 exons.